GCCCGCUUGGUGGAAUUGGUAGACACAAGGGACUUAAAAUCCCUCGACUUAAAAGUCGUGCCGGUUCAAGUCCGGCAGCGGGCACCA
This 87-nucleotide transfer RNA is filed under the name bacterium. RNAcentral describes it as "tRNA-Leu". It matches the Rfam family "tRNA". Rfam says of the family: Transfer RNA (tRNA) molecules are approximately 80 nucleotides in length. Their secondary structure includes four short double-helical elements and three loops (D, anti-codon, and T loops). The record is from RNAcentral. RNAcentral also lists the same sequence under 2 other names.